GGGAAGUUAAAAAACGUAACAAGGUUUCCGUAGGUGAACCUGCGGAAGGAUCAUUACAGAGUUCAUGCCCUCCGGGGUAGAUCUCCCACCCUUUGUGUAUUGUAACAAAAUGUUGCCUUGGCGGGCUGCGGCCCUGCCGUCCGGGUUUAUCCUGGCCUGCCCGCCGAAGGACCCCUAAACUCUGUUUUAUAGUGUCGUCUGAGUACUAUAUAAUAGUUAAAACUUUCAACAACGGAUCUCUUGGUUCUGGCAUCGAUGAAGAACGCAGCGAAAUGCGAUAAGUAAUGUGAAUUGCAGAAUUCAGUGAAUCAUCGAAUCUUUGAACGCACAUUGCGCCCCUUGGUAUUCCGAGGGGCAUGCCUGUUCGAGCGUCAUUAUGACCAAUCUAGCCUAGCUAGGUGUUGGGCGCCGCGGUCUCGCGGGCCUUAAAGCCAGUGGCGGUGCUCUUAGGCUCUACGCGUAGUAACUUCUCUCGCUAUAGGGUUCUGGGAGUUGCUAGCCAGCAACCUCAACUUUCUAAGGUGACCUCGGAUCAGUAGACCUU
This 544-nucleotide ribosomal RNA is filed under the name Lachnum fusiforme. RNAcentral's name for it is "eukaryotic LSU rRNA". The stretch from base 221 to 374 matches the Rfam family "5.8S ribosomal RNA". The record is from RNAcentral. Lineage: Eukaryota; Fungi; Ascomycota; Leotiomycetes; Helotiales; Lachnaceae.